CGCGGCCUAUCAGCUUGUUGGUGAGGUAAUGGCUCACCAAGGCGACGACGGGUAGCCGGCCUGAGAGGGUGACCGGCCACACUGGGACUGAGACACGGCCCAGACUCCUACGGGAGGCAGCAGUGGGGAAUAUUGCACAAUGGGCGCAAGCCUGAUGCAGCGACGCCGCGUGAGGGAUGACGGCCUUCGGGUUGUAAACCUCUUUCAGUAGGGAAGAAGCGAAAGUGACGGUACCUGCAGAAGAAGCGCCGGCUAACUACGCGCCAGCAGCCGCGGUAAUACGUAGGGCGCAAGCGUUAUCCGGAAUUAUUGGGCGUAAAGAGCUCGUAGGCGGUUUGUCGCGUCUGCCGUGAAAGUCCGGGGCUCAACUCCGGAUCUGCGGUGGGUACGGGCAGACUAGAGUGAUGUAGGGGAGACUGGAAUUCCUGGUGUAGCGGUGAAAUGCGCAGAUAUCAGGAGGAGCACCGAUGGCGAAGGCAGGUCUCUGGGCAUUAACUGACGCUGAGGAGCGAAAGCAUGGGGAGCGAACAGGAUUAGAUACCCUGGUAGUCCAUGCCGUAAACGUUGGGCACUAGGUGUGGGGGACAUUCCACGUUUUCCGCGCCGUAGCUAACGCAUUAAGUGCCCCGCCUGGGGAGUACGG
RNAcentral lists this ribosomal RNA (643 nucleotides) under uncultured Actinomycetes bacterium. Its description in RNAcentral is "bacterial SSU rRNA". It matches the Rfam family "Bacterial small subunit ribosomal RNA", at positions 232 to 885 of the family's 1533-position model. Lineage: Bacteria; Bacillati; Actinomycetota; Actinomycetes. The record is from RNAcentral.